Small nucleolar RNA from Phragmites australis (common reed), 139 nucleotides. RefSeq annotates it as small nucleolar RNA Z247. Lineage: Eukaryota; Viridiplantae; Streptophyta; Magnoliopsida; Poales; Poaceae. The transcript has a single exon. The record is from RefSeq and is a predicted model, not a curated record.
CCUCUUCCUGAUGAUGAGGUUAUAUGCUACAUCUUAGCAGGGCUAUGUCCAGAAUAUGACCCUUUGGUCACCUUAGUUACAACACGUAAUGAUCCGAUGAGCCUUAAUGAUUUAUAUGCCUAUUUUUUGAGCUACGAGA